AGGAACUAUGACCACAGCCUAGAUCACUUUCCUGGAUAAGAAUUUUAUUAAAUUGAAGAUGUCUCCUUUCUGAUACCAUCGAAAUGAGAUCUGCCUUUUCCUGAGAAUCCUUUCCAUGUUGGACUGUUUCUGCUAUCAUGAAACUAUUUCUCUGAAGAAAAUCCCAAAGUCUCCUGGGGAAGAUUUACUAACUUGGAGUGGAUCUGAUACCUCACUGUUGCUACAGUGCUACAGAAAAUUGGCAAGAAACUAAUGAACCAUGUUUAUGAUCUACAAAUGUGUACUGAGUGGUGAAGUAAUACACACUGACCUGCUGGGUCACUCGUUCUCCGCCUUACGCUACAUUACUACACAAACAAUCACCUUCAAGAGACGUCGUGACAGAGUUCUUUGUGAUCUGCAGCUUCUUUGAGGUUGCCCUUGUGGAUGCCAUUCUGAGAAUGACCAACUUCUGCCCUUCCUCUGAACCACACUGAUGCAGAUCAGUUUUCAUUUAAUUAAAUGGCUCCAAUUUUG
Molecule: long non-coding RNA, 516 nt
Organism: Suricata suricatta (meerkat)
Lineage: Eukaryota; Metazoa; Chordata; Mammalia; Carnivora; Herpestidae
Exons: 4
Source: RefSeq, a predicted model, not a curated record